AGUUCUGUUUAUUAUCCAACCAUAAUUACAUCUUCAAAAAUGCUUCCUUAGACACGAAGCUCCCUUCUGCUCCCUUCGAAUGCAGGAAGUAACAAGGUGCUGCUGCUCCUUUUCAUAGAAGAACUGAUUAAUCGUCUACAGAAGCUUCCCACUAAAAUAUAUAUUUAUUUUAAACACCUUUACAGAACCUCCAAACAAGCAGAGGGCAGGGGAAAGCAGCUUGUAAAAGCCAAAAAAAGAGGCAUAAGCAGAUGGAGCUAAAAUCUUCCUGUAUUGACAGUGCUGGUGCUCACCCACCUGUAAUGCUCUGGUCACUGUUCCUUGUGUGGGGGCUUCUUCAAAGCCUUUGUGAUAAGACUAAAAGAUCACAAUAAUCAAUUGCUAUUGGGAAAGAACAUCUUGAACUGAAGUUUUGGGGGCGAUUUAAGAGUUGCCAUAUUCUGCCUCCCUCUGCUCUGCAAUCCUAACCUCUUCUCCACAGGCGCUCCAUCAUGCUGCAGUAACCUGCCGUGUAAGAUGGUUAAUGUGAAUACAAGUGUCUGCACUGUACCUGCUCACACUGCUGCGCCUCUGGUUUGUUCCAAUCUGCCAGGGCUCCACAAAAGAUUCUCUGUUUUCUUCAACUCUAGCACAAGGGAAGACUUACAGGAGCGCUGCCCUGACACAAAACCCAGUGGUACAGGACAGCUGGGGGGAAAAAGCCAUAUUUGAGAUAAGCAGGCAGUUUUGGCAAUCAAAACAGAGGAGAAAGUGAAGGGUUCCUACUCUCUUAGUGUUCUCCAGGGAGCAGGAUAGCACUUUAGUUCCUUGUUGCACUCUAAAGAUGCAUUAAUGUCAUUUUGGAUAAUAGCAGCUAACCACAAAGCACAACUGAAGGAUGUUAAUGUAUCCAGAGUCGUGGUCAUGCUGCUUUUACAUUGUUGCUACAGAGGAGCUGCCAUCACUAACGCUCCUCUGCUGGAUUUGUUAAUUGUGGAGUGACACAAGGCAACAGCACAGAGCUAAAAGCAGAAAAUCCACGCUGGGUGGCUUAACCAGCAAACACUCAUCCCCAAAGCUCCAGUUUCAGAAGUCCCACAGCCAUGGCAGCUUUGUGUACGCCUCAGUACGCAGGGGGGAGGAUGAGAAAAACUACUUAACCCAAUACUUGAUGCAAAGUAUCAUGGUUCCACCUUUAGUUCCCAAAAGCAGUUGGCUUAGGACCUGUACCAAGCUCUGGAUAAAUCCCAGAGGCAACAAACUGACAGUAGCAAAGAAGAGGAAGGCUGAGAUUGUGCUAUUCAAGGGUAAAAACAUUUUGAAAGCAUCUCUAGUGCCACGUGGGCAUUAAAAUUCCCUGCUCUGCUCACCAAGGGGCUGCUUUGCUGCCUUGCAGCUCCAGUAAACAACUUCUCCUAAACUGCAACUGUCAGGAGGGUGUAACUAAACCAUUCAGAGCAUGGCUGCUCAUAUUAAAACAAUUUACAUUCAGCACUGAGGCUGACCUAUCAUCUUUGCUGCAAAGCCUUCUUCAUUUUUUCCCCUGCAAACCAAUCUUACACCCCAUGCUGGGCAAUACAAACUUCAAGGCAGAACUCCAAACCCAUGGGCAGAGCUUUCCUGAGGCUCAUUUACCCUGUUUCUCAGCACAAUGAGGCAUUUGGCAGACUUUCCUGCUAGCUGCUUCCCCAACAGCCAGCCUUGAGCACCCGCCUUGCCAUGGGCCAGCUCUGCAACCUAAUGCUAAGCAUUAGCUGCCACAGAGAAGCUUAAGCUUCAGGGUAAGCCAGGCUGUGCUAGUCCUGAGCCUGGCUUCCUGCUCUGCACUUGCCCUGGUGAGGUGCUACCUUCACCUCUGAGCAUUAUUACCACUGACCUUACUACAGCCUCUGUAGGGCUUCCUCCAUGCUUACAAGUUCAGCCACUGGAAGGGUUUGAUCUCUUCGGGGUUCAGGAUCCUAAGUCUCUACUGCUGGCUUUUCUAAACAUACUGGGUACCUCAGCAUCCUUCUGGAGGACUUACACCAAACCCCUGAAGACUGCCAACCCUGCGGAGAGAUGGAUCUCCAUCCUCCAGCCUCUCGCAGUAAGCUGUGACCACAGUAACAGUAGCUACACAGAAACCUCUUCCGGUUGCUGCAACUACCCCUUGGGACAAGGCAGAGACCACAUGCUAAAAUCAUCAACAGAAACUGCUGUAUUUAGACUGACUGACAGGGGUGAGGCCCCUGAGGAUCAGGGCGAGGGCAGGUCCCUUUCCCACAUCAGCAGGCAGCUG
RNAcentral lists this long non-coding RNA (2257 nucleotides) under Strigops habroptila (Kakapo). RNAcentral's name for it is "lncRNA (ENSSHBG00005010747.1)". The record is from RNAcentral. Lineage: Eukaryota; Metazoa; Chordata; Aves; Psittaciformes; Psittacidae.